RNAcentral lists this ribosomal RNA (253 nucleotides) under uncultured bacterium. RNAcentral's name for it is "partial 16S ribosomal RNA". It matches the Rfam family "Bacterial small subunit ribosomal RNA", at positions 524 to 776 of the family's 1533-position model. The record is from RNAcentral.
UACGUAGGGACCGAGCGUUGUCCGGAAUCAUUGGGCGUAAAGAGCGUGUAGGCGGCCACUUAAGUCCUGCGUGAAAUCCUGCGGCUCAACCGCAGGCGGUCGUGGGAAACUGGGUGGCUAGAGUGCGGGAGAGGAGAGUGGAAUUCCUAGUGUAGAGGUGAAAUUCGUAGAUAUUAGGAAGAACACCAGUGGCGAAGGCGGCUCACUGGCCCGGUACUGACGCUGAGGCGCGAAAGCGUGGGGAGCAAACAGG